AAUACUUCCGCAGGGCAAGUUUCUUUUCACGGAAAACGAUUCUUUCAUUUUAAUCAACUCGUAGAUCUUGCAAUAGUACAUUGGUGCAGUGUGUACAGGUUUUCUAAUCGAGACGCUGCUGGAGGAGAAGAGAAGGGGAGAAGUUUUUUUCCUGCUACCUGUUGCCCAAGAGUGAAAAGAUGGUGUACUGGAGAGGUACUUAUGCUACCCCCGGUGAGAGGGCCCGACCUAAACGUCUGAUGUCAUUGGAGCCUGUAAAUCAGAUUCUAGCCAUAUUGAUGAGACAGAAAGUUGGAUUGUAUCUUGAAGAUAUUGCUGAUUGCUUUGACAGACUUUCUCUUCAGAUAAGACCAGAGCUAUCAUCUUUUUUCUACAGGAUUCUCACCUGUUAGGAGCCUCGUCGAGGAUAUUCCACAUCUGAGUCAUGCCUGAAACAUGAACAUUCAUGAAUUAUCAAUUUCGUGUGCAUAUGAUUUGCACUUUAAAUGAUUAAAUGUGUUUGUCAUUAAAUAUGCAAUUAAUCAAUAAGAUGUAAAGUGACAUGGGAUAA
Ostrea edulis (European flat oyster) is the source of this 550-nucleotide long non-coding RNA. RefSeq lists it as uncharacterized. The record is from RefSeq and is a predicted model, not a curated record. The transcript is spliced from 3 exons. Lineage: Eukaryota; Metazoa; Mollusca; Bivalvia; Ostreida; Ostreidae.